UUCCGGUUGAUCCUGCCGGACCCCACUGCUAUCGAGGUGGGACUAAGCCAUGCCAGUCGAACGACCCGGACUAUGGCGGGGAGUGGCAGACUGCUCAGUAACACGUAGCUAACCUACCCUCGGGACGGGGAUAACCCCGGGAAACUGGGGCUAAUACCCGAUAGGUAUGGAUUCCUGGAAUGGUGCCAUGCCUAAACGUAAGCACAUCCAUGUUUGUGUGCACGCCCGAGGAUGGGGCUGCGGCCGAUCAGGCAGUUGGUGAGGUAAUGGCUCACCAAACCUUUGACCGGUACGGGCCAUGAGAGUGGUAGCCCGGAGAUGGGCACUGAGACAAGGGCCCAGGCCCUACGGGGCGCAGCAGUUGCGAAAACCCCGCAAUGCACGAAAGUGUGACGGGGCUACCCCGAGUGCCGUCCGCUGAGGAUGGCUUUUCUCCGCUGUAAGGAGGCGGAGGAAUAAGGAGAGGGCAAGACUGGUGUCAGCCGCCGCGGUAAUACCAGCUCUCCGAGUGGUAGGGGUGAUUAUUGGGCUUAAAGCGUCCGUAGCCGGCCUGGCAAGUCUUCCGUUAAAUCCAGCAACCUAAUUGUUGGGCUGCGGGGGAUACUGUUAGGCUUGGGGGUGGGAGAGGCCGACGGUAUUCUCGGGGUAGGGGUGAAAUCUUAUAAUCCCGAGAGGACCACCAGUGGCGAAUGCUGUCGGCUAGCACGCGCCUGACGGUGAGGGACGAAAGCUGGGGGAGCGAACCGGAUUAGAUACCCGGGUAGUCCCUGCUGUAAACGAUGCGAGCUAGUGUUGGGGCGGCUACGAGCCGCUUCAGUGCCGCAGCGAAAGCGUUAAGCUCGCCGCUGGGGAGUACGGCCGCAAGCUGAAACUUAAGGAAUUGGCGGGGGAUCACCACAAGUCGUGAAGCUUGCGGUUCAAUUGGAGUUCAAC
Molecule: ribosomal RNA, 933 nt
Filed under: uncultured archaeon
Lineage: Archaea
Description: bacterial SSU rRNA
Rfam family: Archaeal small subunit ribosomal RNA
Source: RNAcentral